This 427-nucleotide ribosomal RNA is filed under the name uncultured bacterium. RNAcentral's name for it is "partial 16S ribosomal RNA". It matches the Rfam family "Bacterial small subunit ribosomal RNA", at positions 355 to 774 of the family's 1533-position model. The record is from RNAcentral.
UGGGGAAUAUUGGACAAUGGGCGAAAGCCUGAUCCAGCCAUGCCGCGUGUGUGAAGAAGGUCUUCGGAUUGUAAAGCACUUUAAGUUGGGAGGAAGGGCAUUAACCUAAUACGUUAGUGUUUUGACGUUACCGACAGAAUAAGCACCGGCUAACUCUGUGCCAGCAGCCGCGGUAAUACAGAGGGUGCAAGCGUUAAUCGGAAUUACUGGGCGUAAAGCGCGCGUACGUGGUUUGUUAAGUUGGAUGUGAAAUCCCCGGGCUCAACCUGGGAACUGCAUUCAAAACUGACUGACUAGAGUAUGGUAGAGGGUGGUGGAAUUUCCUGUGUAGCGGUGAAAUGCGUAGAUAUAGGAAGGAACACCAGUGGCGAAGGCGACCACCUGGACUAAUACUGACACUGAGGUGCGAAAGCGUGGGGAGCAAACA